ACGGGUGGAGUAACGCGUGGGUAACCUGCCCUGUACAGGGGGAGUAACAGUCAGAAAUGACUGCUAAUACCGCAUAAGACCACAGCACCGCAUGGUGCAGGGGUAAAAACUACCGGUGGUACAGGAUGGACCCGCGUCUGAUUAGCUGGUUGGUGAGGUAACGGCUCACCAAGGCGACGAUCAGUAGCCGGCUUGAGAGAGUGAACGGCCACAUUGGGACUGAGACACGGCCCAAACUCCUACGGGAGGCAGCAUG
This 256-nucleotide ribosomal RNA is filed under the name uncultured bacterium. RNAcentral's name for it is "partial 16S ribosomal RNA". It matches the Rfam family "Bacterial small subunit ribosomal RNA", at positions 100 to 353 of the family's 1533-position model. The record is from RNAcentral.